AUUGAACGCUGGCGGCAUGCUUUACACAUGCAAGUCGAACGGCAGCGCGGGCUUCGGCCUGGCGGCGGGUGGCGAACGGGUGAGUAAUACAUCGGAACGUGCCCAGCAGCGGGGGAUAGCUCGGCGAAAGCCGGAUUAAUACCGCAUAAGACCUGAGGGCGAAAGCGGGGGAUCUUCGGACCUUGCGCUAUUGGAGGGGCCGAUGGCAGAUUAGCUAGUUGGUGGGGUAAAGGCCUACCAAGGCGACGAUCUGUAGCUGGUCUGAGAGGACGACCAGCCACACUGGGACUGAGACACGGCCCAGACUCCUACGGGAGGCAGCAGUGGGGAAUUUUGGACAAUGGGCGAAAGCCUGAUCCAGCAAUGCCGCGUGUGUGAUGAAGGCCUUCGGGUUGUAAAGCACUUUUGGCGGGAACGAAAAGGACUGUGCCAAUACCACGGUUCGAUGACGGUACCCGCAGAAUAAGCACCGGCUAACUACGUG
Molecule: ribosomal RNA, 484 nt
Filed under: uncultured bacterium
Lineage: Bacteria
Description: partial 16S ribosomal RNA
Rfam family: Bacterial small subunit ribosomal RNA
Source: RNAcentral